UUCUUUUGCUAGGGGAGAAUAAGUGUGGGAGGGAAUGCCUGCACGAUGACAAGGACUAGCGAAUAAGUCCCGGCCAACUACGUGCCAGCAGCCGC
RNAcentral lists this ribosomal RNA (95 nucleotides) under uncultured Sphingomonas sp. Its description in RNAcentral is "partial 16S ribosomal RNA". The record is from RNAcentral. Lineage: Bacteria; Pseudomonadati; Pseudomonadota; Alphaproteobacteria; Sphingomonadales; Sphingomonadaceae.